This 399-nucleotide ribosomal RNA is filed under the name Macrobrachium intermedium. RNAcentral describes it as "partial 16S ribosomal RNA". It matches the Rfam family "Bacterial large subunit ribosomal RNA", at positions 1932 to 2540 of the family's 2925-position model. The record is from RNAcentral. Lineage: Eukaryota; Metazoa; Arthropoda; Malacostraca; Decapoda; Palaemonidae.
UGCGGUAAUUUGACCGUGCAAAGGUAGCAUAAUAAGUAGUCUUUUAAUUGAAGGCUUGUAUGAACGGUUGGAUGAGGGAAAAGCUGUCUCUCUGGCAAUCUAAAAUUUGACUUUUAAGUGAAAAGGCUUAAAUAAAAUAGUGGGACGAUAAGACCCUAUAAAACUUUACAUGUGGUACGCUUUUUUUUAAAAUUUUAAUUAAACUUUGGAAAGUGUUCUUCAUGUUUUGUUGGGGAGACAUUGAUAUAAUUUGUAACUGUCUAAAUAAAACAUAUAAUAAUCAUUAGAAUUUGAUCCUUCUUUGUGGAUAAAAAGAAUAAGUUACUUUAGGGAUAACAGCGUAAUUUUUUCUGAGAGUUCUUAUCGAAGAAAGUAGUUGCGACCUCGAUGUUGAAUUAA